UACGUAGGGUGCGAGCGUUAAUCGGAAUUACUGGGCGUAAAGCGUGCGCAGGCGGUGAGCUGUGUCCGAUGUGAAAGCCCCGGGCUUAACCUGGGAAUGGCAUUGGAAACUGGCUCGCUGGAGUGUGGCAGAGGGGGGUGGAAUUCCUGGUGUAGCGGUGAAAUGCGCAGAUAUCAGGAGGAACACCGGUGGCGAAGGCGGGUCUCUGGGCCGAUACUGACGCUGAGGAGCGAAAGCGUGGGGAGCAAACAGG
This 253-nucleotide ribosomal RNA is filed under the name uncultured bacterium. Its description in RNAcentral is "partial 16S ribosomal RNA". It matches the Rfam family "Bacterial small subunit ribosomal RNA", at positions 524 to 776 of the family's 1533-position model. The record is from RNAcentral.